Long non-coding RNA from Malus domestica (apple), 1426 nucleotides. RefSeq lists it as uncharacterized. The record is from RefSeq and is a predicted model, not a curated record. NCBI's taxonomy places the organism in Eukaryota, Viridiplantae, Streptophyta, Magnoliopsida, Rosales, Rosaceae.
GAAAAGAGAUAUAACUGCCGAAAGUGGGAUUCAAAGUCAAAAAAUUAACCCUCCACGUUCUACAAAUUUUUCCAUCAAUUGGGGUUCUUUUCCAACUCAAUUUAUCAAGAGCGAAUGAUACCCCACCUCUCCCAAUCAUGGUCCACACAGCAAUCCAAGAACAGGAUAGAGGAAUUGAAAACACAUGCAUGGAGUACUGGCAUUGUUUAAUUUCGUUUCAGUUUAAAUGAUUUCGUUUACGUUCUCAAUUUUGCUUCCAUGAAUCCAACGCCAAGCAUUCAUGGUUGAUUUGCUAUUCUCAUUGUUAUUUUUUUACGAAAAUUAUGCAGAUAAGAAGAAGUCCACCCAUUGAUGCUUCCAAGUUCCAUUUUUGCAACUGAUACUAAGAGUUGAUGCUCGAUUUUGGAGAUUGCCACACUCCAACGUGGGAUAAAAGGAGGUAGAAACCAACGUUCGUGUCCUCGAUUCUUUUUCUUUCAGUUUUUUCGGUUUCUUGCUUUGCGAUUUGUGAAUGAAAGUGUGCAAUUCUGAAUACGGCGGAAUUUGCAGUGAUUCCUCUCUCCAGGUGUUCAAAGGAAAUUAAUCGGGGUGUAAGCUUCCAUUUUCUCUUCUAGGGGUUAUGCAAACCCUAAUCGGUGUACAUAUUCGUUUGUGAAUGUAUAUAAAUCAGUAUAUAUGCAUUUUUGUGGUUGGAUUAUUAGAUAGGUUUUGUUUUCGAGUAUGUGAAGGUGAAGGAGAAGCCAGUCUUCAGAAGAAUUCAAACAACAUAUUUGCUAUAAGUUGUUCUAUUUCUUUGAUAUAUUUUAUUUGGUUUGAUUUGUUCAUUUACUGGCUUCUAUCAUGAAUUUGUCAUUCUGUUUAACUACUAUUGCUGCCAAACCACCGAAAAAUACAUUUCAACGGGUCAAUAAUCUAUUCUGUGGAUGAUCGUGUUUGUCGAUGGUAUGACUCAGUCCCCUUCUUGACUUCGUAACAUGGAUGUUUAAUGCUGGUACUUUUAAUUUUAUAUGCAAACAAAAUCUAACCUUUUAUUUGCUUUUGUUUGUUUUGGGAUUAAUAGAGAUGAGUAGAUUUUGAUUAAAUUUUGGUUGAACAGAUUGUGUAGUUGGGAAUCUUGAUCUGAUGGAUACGAUUGAAUGAAAAAAUCGUGGAGCAUGAGAACCAUGGAAGCAUUAUCAAACCGCUCUGAUGGAUAGGAUUGUGUAGUUGCGAUUAUGGCAGAACCAGUGCCCCCUGCCUUGCCCAAUGUUGGAACAAUCCAACAAGGAAUACAGUGCAAAGAUUAAAGGGAGUAGGUUGUUAACCAUUGCCGAUCUUAAUUUUGCCUUCCCAGUCCAUCUCAUCUCUCUCCUUUUUAGUAUCUAACUGUGUAACUUUCAAACCUUUUGUAGUAAUUUUUCAGUUCCAAGGGUAAUUCUCCAUUUAA